This 774-nucleotide ribosomal RNA is filed under the name uncultured bacterium. RNAcentral describes it as "bacterial SSU rRNA". It matches the Rfam family "Bacterial small subunit ribosomal RNA", at positions 8 to 796 of the family's 1533-position model. The record is from RNAcentral.
AGAGUUUGAUCAUGGCUCAGAAUCAACGCUGGCGGCGUGCCUCAGACAUGCAAGUCGAACGAUUAAGACUUCCUUCGGGAAGUGCAUAAAGUGGCGCACGGGUGAGUAACACGUAAGUAAUCUACCUUCGAGUGGGGAAUAACGUCCGGAAACGGACGCUAAUACCGCAUAAUGCAGCGGCAUCGUAAGAUGACAGUUGUUAAAGGAGCAAUUCGCUUGAAGAGGAGCUUGCGGCAGAUUAGCUAGUUGGUAAGGUAAUGGCUUACCAAGGCUACGAUCUGUAACCGGUCUAAGAGGACGGUCGGUCACACUGACACUGAAUAACGGGUCAGACUCCUACGGGAGGCAGCAGUCGGGAAUUUUGGGCAAUGGGCGAAAGCCUGACCCAGCAACGCCGCGUGAAGGAUGAAGUAUUUCGGUAUGUAAACUUCGAAAGAAUAGGAAGAAUUAAUGACGGUACUAUUUAUAAGGUCCGGCUAACUACGUGCCAGCAGCCGCGGUAAUACGUAGGGACCAAGCGUUGUUCGGAUUUACUGGGCGUAAAGGGCGCGUAGGCGGCAUGACAAGUCACUUGUGAAAUCUCCGGGCUUAACUCGGAACGGUCAAGUGAUACUGUCGCGCUAGAGUGCGGAAGGGGCAAUCAGAAUUCUUGGUGUAGCGGUGAAAUGCAGAUAUCAAGAGGAAUACCUGAGGUGAAGACGGGUUGCUAGGCCGACACUGACGCUGAAGCGCGAAAGCCAGGGGAGCAAACGGGAUUAGAUACCCUAGUAGUCC